GAUGAACGCUGGCGGCGUGCCUAAUACAUGCAAGUCGAGCGAACAGACGAGGAGCUUGCUCCUCUGACGUUAGCGGCGGACGGGUGAGUAACACGUGGAUAACCUACCUAUAAGACUGGGAUAACUUCGGGAAACCGGAGCUAAUACCGGAUAAUAUAUUGAACCGCAUGGUUCAAUAGUGAAAGACGGUUUUGCUGUCACUUAUAGAUGGAUCCGCGCCGCAUUAGCUAGUUGGUAAGGUAACGGCUUACCAAGGCGACGAUGCGUAGCCGACCUGAGAGGGUGAUCGGCCACACUGGAACUGAGACACGGUCCAGACUCCUACGGGAGGCAGCAGGAGGGAAUCUUCCGCAAUGGGCGAAAGCCUGACGGAGCAACGCCGCGUGAGUGAUGAAGGUCUUCGGAUCGUAAAACUCUGUUAUUAGGGAAGAACAAAUGUGUAAGUAACUAUGCACGUCUUGACGGUACCUAAUCAGAAAGCCACGGCUAACUACGG
Molecule: ribosomal RNA, 496 nt
Filed under: uncultured bacterium
Lineage: Bacteria
Description: partial 16S ribosomal RNA
Rfam family: Bacterial small subunit ribosomal RNA
Source: RNAcentral